UGUGCACAAAGACACUUGUUCGUGAAGGAGAAUUAAGUAGAAAAGUUGAUGCACAGAGACAUUCCCACUCUCUCGGUGUUGGAAGUCUGGGUCCAGUGGCACAAAAAGUCAUCACAUCUGGAGACUUCCUCAGCUGCAUUGGAUGGCCCUGUUGUCUUUUGUGCUCCAACAAGCCCUAAGCACUCCACAGUGCCUUGCUGCGUCACCAUCUCAGCCAUUGAACCUUCUUAUUGGUUUCUUCCCUCUGUUCAGCUGAAGCAGUCUUCACAUGAUGGGAGAUAUCAUGGUGUAAUGAGGAGAUUGGACUAGGAAUCAGAUGGGUUCAAGCCCCAGGUAUGUCACUUUGAGGCAGGCAGACAGGCUGAAAUGAGGAAGAAGUUCCCAAUUCAGACUGUUCAAGCAUCUGGCAUUCACUGAAGACUGGUAUUUUUCACAUGCAAAUAUACAGAGACAGGAGAUCUCAUUGAACCUCUGAAGAAGUACAGUGACACUGGGGCAAGGUGAAUCAUUUCCCUUUUGGAGAGAACUGCAUCACUACAGGAUAAGGUUUCCAUAAGGCAACCUUAACUUGGUGAGUCUUAGCAUCCUUUCCCCUCUUGCACACUGUUUUUUUUUUUUAUAAAGGAAAUCCAUAUGCAAAGAUGGAGGCAAAAAAUGGGGAGGUAUGUUCAGAGGAUGGAAAAAUAGAUAAUUCAAUUUUUAUUGAAAAAAAGGAAUAAUAUUAAAGAGAAAUACUGUGAGAUAAGGCUAGAAAGGUAGGUUAGGGUCAUAUCGUAAAGGACCUUCAGUUUGGACCUAAAGAAUCUAGAUUUUAUCUGGGAGUCAAUGAAGAGUUUUGAAGGGCUCUAGAUAUGUUUGUAUUUAUGUCUUAGAAAGAUUAUUGUUGUUCAGUUAUUCAAUGAUGUCUGAUUUUAUGUGAUACCAUGGACAUUUUCAUGGGACUUUUUCUGGACUGGUUUGCCAUUUCCUUCUCCAGUGUGUCCCUGGUUUAUAGGUGAGAAACUGAGGCAAAUAGAGAUUAAGUGAUUUGCCCAGGAUUACACAGCUAUUAAGUGUCUGAGGCUGCAUUUGAACUGGACCCUUUCCAACUUUGGGCCCAGUGCAUUGUCUCUCUGUCCUCCUUUAAAAGAUUAUUCUGGUCUAAAUUCUGAAAACAGUCAAGAAAAAAGAGACUAGAGACAGAGAGAGAGAUAAAGAGACUCUCUUAAAAGGUACAUUACUAGCAUGAUACAUAGAUUCCUCAAAUCCCAAGUUUGCAGCUGAGAAUGAAAUGCAGAUUGUAAUUAAUUACAUUUGCUGAUCUCUGGACACCAUGUGGAUCCUCUCUAAACUAAUGCCAAACAGUACUAUUCCUUCCUUGAAAGAAAAGAUAAUGUUCCAGAAAAUAAUGGCACAGUAGGUCACCCAGAAUAAUUCAGAUGCCUUUCUUUCUCUGAAAGAUGGGGGGUACCCACUUGACCUUAUAAAGCUUGUUUAUUAGAUUGUGGCUUUUAUGGUAUUAAAAUAAUUCCUCAAAUAGGCUACCAAGCUUCCCAUGGAGAGUGGUUAUUAUCAGAAAAUAAAUAGCUUCAAGUUAUGGCUCUGCAUAUUUAUAAAUACCCCCCAAGAAAAUGUCCCCAAAGGAAAAGUGAUGCUCUUAAAAAUUAGUUGAAAAAUGACCUUUUAUUUAGCUCUCUCUCAAAUGGAGGGAAUACAAUAUAUAAAAAUUUUUUUACAGUUUCUCCAUUCUGUUCAUCUUCCCCUCUCUUGAAAAAAAAUUCAAAAACAAAAAUAAAAGACUGUACCAUGCACCAUCUAUAUGAAUGUGUGGGAGAGAAGACAGACUUCACAAAAUAAUGAAUUGGAGCACUUAACCAGUUUUGUCAGGGAUAAAUUUGAUAGUUAAAACAAUCUUAGAGGUCAUGAAAGAUUAUUUAAAAGGAAGUAUUGGAGAGAUACAUAUUUAACUUUGUUGCUCAAAACAUUAGAAACAAUUUAGAAAUGCAAAGAUUUGAUUGUAAAUUAUAUGGAGUGAGGCCAGUUCCACAAGUAAAUAUUAGAUCAGAGAUUUAGAGCAGGAAGUGACCACCUCAGGGGUCACCUAAUCUAACUCCUUAAUUUCAUAUCAAUCAAUCAACCAACAAUCAUUAAGCUCCUCUGAUUUACCAGGAAUUCUUCUAAGCUUGAGGGGCACAAAUGCAAAAAAAAAAAAAAAAGAAUGAUUCCCCGUUUUUAAGAAACUAACAUUUUACCUCUAUGGAUGAAGAAUGUAAGGUCAAGGGAAGAUUAUAGAUCUAAUAUAGGAAGGAACUUCUGAGACAUAUCCUUCAACCCCCUCAUUUAAAAUUUAAAAAAUUAUAUCCUCCUAUAAUUACACAUCAAAACAAAUAACAUUAAAAUUUUUUUAAAUUCCAAUUGUCUCCUUUUCUCCCUCCCCUCCCUGAGAUGAUGAGCAAUUUGAGCAAUGUGACAUAAAUUUAACAUGUGCAAUCCAUAUUAGUAAUUUUGUGGAAGAGAACUUGAAUAAAAAAUCUAAAAACAAAAACCCUAAACAAAUGGAAAAAGAAAAUUAAAUAUGGUUUAUUUCAGUCUAUGCUCAGACUCCAUCAGAUGGCAUUUUUCAUCAUAAGUCCUUAGAAGCCUCAUUUAUAGGUGAGCAGGCUGAGGCUCAGGGAGAUUAAAUGACUUUUCCAUAGUCACAUAGGUAACAAAUGAUAGAGAUGGGAAUUGAACUCAGGUUCUCUGAUUCCAAAUGCAGCACAUUUUCCUCUGUACCAUGCUUCCAACCAUGUUCAAAAAUAUAUCCCAACCUUAUGUUUUCAUAUCUCAGAUGACACAGAUAGUGAUAAAGACUAGCUAGUCCAAAAUCAAGAAGGCAUAUAUUUUAAUCACUUUUCUGUUUUAUGUGUAGCUUCCUUCAUUUUCCUUUCCAGGAUGCUACAUGUGGCCUUGUACACAUAGUGAUGUUGGAUUUUUCCAUUCUAAUAUGUUUCAUUCUUUUCUGCUCUAAGGUAAGUGAAUGUAAUGAAUGGAAAAGGCUACCAAAAGUAAGAUUAUUAAAAAAAAAUAGAAAGAAAGAAAAAGGGUCUAAAGGUCAGACGAGUUACUGGUGGUCCAGGAACAGAAGUCCAUAUUGGAGUUUGCUGGAAGCUAAUCUCAGGAAGGGUGCAGCCCCUACAAUCGAAAUGUGUGAUAUUGAAAUCACUUUAAAAGACUGAUAUAUAUUAAUUUAAGGUCACCAAGGAAUUCAGCUAUGUAAUUCCUAAAUGAAAUACUCAAGUCAGCUGCCAAUUUUUUUUUAUGGUGUUUUAAU
Molecule: long non-coding RNA, 3292 nt
Organism: Monodelphis domestica (gray short-tailed opossum)
Lineage: Eukaryota; Metazoa; Chordata; Mammalia; Didelphimorphia; Didelphidae
Source: RefSeq, a predicted model, not a curated record